RNAcentral lists this long non-coding RNA (346 nucleotides) under Mytilus galloprovincialis (Mediterranean mussel). Lineage: Eukaryota; Metazoa; Mollusca; Bivalvia; Mytilida; Mytilidae. The record is from RNAcentral.
GAAAUCUAUGAAAUUUUGACACAAGGUUUAUGACCACUAAAGGAAGGUUUUGAUUGAUUUUGGGAGUUUUGGUCCCAACUGUUUAGGAAUUAGGGGCCAAUAAAGGGCCCAAAUAAGCAUUAUUCUUGGUUUUUGCACAAUAACUUUAGUAUAAGUAAAUAGAAAUCAAUGAAAUUUAAACACAAGGUUUAUGAACACAAAAGGAAGGUUGGGAUUGAUUUUGGGAGUUGAGGUCCCAACAGUUUAGGAAUUAGGGGCCAAAAAGGGCCCACAUAAGCAUUUUUCUUGGUUUUCGCACAAUAACUUUAGUAUAAGUAAAUAGAAAUCAAUGAAAUUUAAACACAAG